UGGGAAUGGAGAGGGAGUGAGUCCAUAAGGUGUGUGGAUUAUAUAAGGGCCGGAGAGUCAAUGGGAAACAGGUGUGGCAGGUUGACAUGAUUAUGAUGAGCGGAUCUGGAACUGGUGUGGAGGAUCAGGGAAGUGAGGAGUGAAUGGAGGAGCGGCCGAACAG
Melanotaenia boesemani (Boeseman's rainbowfish) is the source of this 163-nucleotide long non-coding RNA. RefSeq lists it as uncharacterized. Lineage: Eukaryota; Metazoa; Chordata; Actinopteri; Atheriniformes; Melanotaeniidae. The record is from RefSeq and is a predicted model, not a curated record. The transcript has 3 exons.